GAUGAACGCUGGCGGCGUGCCUAAUACAUGCAAGUCGAGCGAACGGACGAGAAGCUUGCUCCUCUGACGUUAGCGGCGGACGGGUGAGUAACACGUGGAUAACCUACCUAUAAGACUGGGAUAACUUCGGGAAACCGGAGCUAAUACCGGAUAAUAUUUUGAACCGCAUGGUUCAAUAGUGAAAGACGGUUUUGCUGUCACUUAUAGAUGGAUCCGCGCUGCAUUAGCUAGUUGGUAAGGUAACGGCUUACCAAGGCAACGAUGCCUAGCCGACCUGAGAGGGUGAUCGGCCACACUGGAACUGAGACACGGUCCAGACUCCUACGGGAGGCAGCAGUAGGGAAUCUUCCGCAAUGGGCGAAAGCCUGACGGAGCAACGCCGCGUGAGUGAUGAAGGUCUUCGGAUCGUAAAACUCUGUUAUUAGGGAAGAACAUAUGUGUAAGUAACUGUGCACGUCUUGACGGUACCUAAUCAGAAAGCCACGGCUAACUACGUG
RNAcentral lists this ribosomal RNA (497 nucleotides) under uncultured bacterium. RNAcentral describes it as "partial 16S ribosomal RNA". It matches the Rfam family "Bacterial small subunit ribosomal RNA", at positions 28 to 507 of the family's 1533-position model. The record is from RNAcentral.